GGCUCAGAUUGAACGCUGGCGGCAUGCCUUACACAUGCAAGUCGAACGGCAGCGGGGACUUCGGUCCGCCGGCGAGUGGCGAACGGGUGAGUAAGGUAUCGGAACGUACCUUUCAGUGGGGGAUAACUGUCCGAAAGGACAGCUAAUACCGCAUAUUCUGUGAGCAGGAAAGCAGGGGAUCGCAAGACCUUGCGCUGAUUGAGCGGCCGAUAUCAGAUUAGCUAGUUGGUGAGGUAAAGGCUCACCAAGGCGACGAUCUGUAGCGGGUCUGAGAGGAUGAUCCGCCACACUGGAACUGAGACACGGUCCAGACUCCUACGGGAGGCAGCAGUGGGGAAUUUUGGACAAUGGGGGCAACCCUGAUCCAGCCAUGCCGCGUGAGUGAAGAAGGCCUUCGGGUUGUAAAGCUCUUUCGGCCGGGAAGAAAUCGUAUGGGCUAAUACCCUGUGCGGAUGACGGUACCGGCAUAAGAAGCACCGGCUAACUACGUG
This 491-nucleotide ribosomal RNA is filed under the name uncultured bacterium. RNAcentral's name for it is "bacterial SSU rRNA". It matches the Rfam family "Bacterial small subunit ribosomal RNA", at positions 21 to 507 of the family's 1533-position model. The record is from RNAcentral.